Molecule: non-coding RNA, 1092 nt
Organism: Paramuricea clavata
Lineage: Eukaryota; Metazoa; Cnidaria; Anthozoa; Malacalcyonacea; Plexauridae
Source: the annotation of a GenBank genome assembly
UGUAAACUAGGGUUUUAUGCAUUGUACAUCAUUAUUUAUUCAUAAAACAACAUUAAUUACUCAAAUUCCAUUAGUUAAUCAGCUUCCGUGGCGCGUUUGGCCAAUUUGAAUAGUAAAAUAUCCAAAUGGCCAUCCCGCCACGGAUCACUGAUUAAGCAUUGGGGAAAAGGAAGGUCCAUUGUUUCCAAAUGAAGCACGGAAAUGAAUUCCUCCGCAGUUCAGUUACUACUCGCUCCCAACAAUACAUCUCCCCAAUAUACCCAAACCCCCAUUCUCAUAUACCCAAACCCCCAUUUUCAUCUACCAAAUCCCCAUUCUCAUAUAACCAAACCCCCAUUCUCAUAUACCCAAACCCGCAUUCUCAUAUACCAAACCCCCAUUCUCAAAUACCCGACAACCCCGCCGAGUCGCCUGUGCCACACACACAAGCCAAACUAUAAUCUAUUAAGCAAACAAACCGGCAAUGGAUAUGGAAAAGCAAUUGGUGGACUAGCAUGGUCAAGCGACAAUGAACGCAGAGAAUAACCCGGAACUGAUGCCACAGGUCUGGUCCCCGGGAGAAACUUCCACCCAAUGACUCGCUUCGUAAGACGCUCAGAAGCUGCUACCGAAACGAAAAACAGCCCUACCAACAGGUUCCCAUGCAGGAACAACAACUGUUUGACAACGUUUGAGACGUUAAGCGAGUGGCGAGAGAAAAGAUGAACAGAGAAGUAAAUCCCCAAAGCACCCCCCUCCCCCCCGGAAGGACCAGAAAAGGGCAACAGUCCCGGCACAACUGCUAGAGUCGAACACAAAGAGCUUUAGAUAGCCCUGGGAAAGUUGACCCCCACCAGCCAAGAAAAGAAUAAAGAACCCAAGAAACGCAAACGAAAACCAGCUAACGAGCGCAAACACAAGAUCAGUAAUUUCAUACCCACUCGAAAAACAUAUAUUGCGCAAGAAUUGGGUGAUUCGCGUAUGGCAAGGAAGGUAUACUGUUCUGAAUCGCCAAAACAUUGGCCCUUGUCUGUCCAAUCCAAAUGCAGUAAGCACGUGCGCUCGGUCUCAAGCAAUCAUGUAUGGCGAGACGCACCUCUUGCAUUUGCAAAC